UUGACUGAUGUGGUACAUGUACAGCUCUAGCUUUGCAUAUCAUGGCAUCUUCCAUUCGCUCUAGAAAGCACAAGAUAGGGGGAGUGAGGAGAAAAUCAAAAAAGUAAUUACACAUAUAUGCAUAUGCUAUCAAAAAAUUUAUCUUUCCAUUUUCAUUUUACAUUGAGGCCAUGUAGGCCUGGUUGUAGGAGGAGUCCAUCUCGUGGACGACGAGGCUGGUUGCGGUGACCUGGGCGCCGGUGGCGUUGUUGAAGAGGUAAACACCGGCGUUUGCAUAAAUCGCCUCGGUCGGGUACACCCGCGACGUCACUGUUGACCUCCCGUCCAUCGCAAAGCUCUCCACGAUGGAGUGGUCCACCAGCACCCUCACUGACAGGUCCUCACCGGAGAGAACCGGCACAGUGUUGCCAACGACCCUCUUGACAAUGUCAUAGGCGCGAGACGAGCGCGUCUCGUCAUGGCAAAAGUGUGUGCGCAGGCCUCCAUCGAGGCCCCUCGAAACAUAGAAAUAGACGGCGGUCCGCUCUGCGUCCCCACCAUGGUGCCUGGCAUCGGCGAGCACGAGGAAGCCGAAGGGUCCGAGGGCGCCCCGGCCCGCCGCCCCGCCACUAGUGCUACAAUUGUAGCCGAUGUCGGCCUCAUUGGCGGCGGCGAGAUCCAGCGAGUCGAUGUGAAAUGAGGCCUGAAUGUCGAGUUGGGUUGCACGGUGAAGGCUGAGCGGGAAGACCGAGCCGUGGUCGAUGGUGACCUGGCCGAGGUCGGUGGAGUUGGUCCGGAGCGUCUCCACCUCCUGUACCGGCCACUGCAGAAGGUUGCUUCCUGUCUUGGUGUCCAGCACCACCGUCCGAGGGAUUGACUGCAACAUUAGCAACAUACUAAGAUUAAUUAACAAUAAUUGAUAACUAUUCAGCAAAGUAUCCUAGGUAUCAAUCAUUGACAACAAAGAAAAUAAUCCUAGGUAGUAUCAUUCAACGUCUGAGCGGAAAGAAUUGCUAACUAACAGUGUGGUAAGCAGACAAGACAACCCUUUUUCUUGUCUAAUCACAAUUUGGUUGGUAGUAGCAGAAAUUAUUUAGUAUUUAGUUUGUUGUUAGUACCAAAUUGCCAACCUUGGCCUGCCACUAGACCACAUGCUACCACAUGAUUGAUUCAAGGGGUAUGCAGAGUUUGUUUGUGGGACAUAACCUUUUUCUUGUAUGUAAAGUAUAAACCAAGUUUGGUUCGUGCUAAAAGAAAUUGUAUCAACAAACUGGCAACAGAUUACCAAUCUUGGUAUCCCAACAGUAGCUGCAACUAGUUUGAGCUGUAUGCAAGCUCAAGGAAGCUAAGAGACACUUGACAACGAGAUGACAGCAACAUUGCUUUAGCUGCUAUAUAUGAUGCUGUCUAUCCAUGAUUCAUCCCAAGUGGCUGCUAUUAUUAUUUGCAUGCAUUGACCAUGGCCCACCGGGCCAUGCCAUCAUGCCGAGGUGUCUAUGGAACCAAACCAAAAGUGUUUGCAACGCUCCUAACCAUGCAAAUUAAAUUCACAAAAGCAACAUUUUCUUAAGAAUCAACUAAUGGAGGUUAAUCAACCAAUUGAUUUCACCAUGUUUGCACAACAAGAAGAUGUUGACCCCCACAAAAAAACAACAACAACAAGAUGUUGAAAGUGGCAAGUACCUGGAGGGAGGCCCAUCCCUUGGCGACGUCGGCGCGCUCGGAGUCGGUUUCACCGACCCACCCCCAGAGCACACGCCGCUUCUUUGCCGGAUCGUAGAAGGUUUUGGACGCGUAGAACUUUCCCCAGUCAUACCUCAGCCCGACGCCAACAUCGGCGUCGGUGUCCAAUGGGGUCCAGAUGUUCUUUGCCGCAUCGUAUCGCCCGAGCGCAUAGUAGUCGUGCCGGUCAUCGUCCGAGCUCUCCUUCAUCACAUGCAAAACAUCGUCGCCCCCAUUUGUGUACGCGGCCUCCACCGCGUCCGUCAUAUCGAUGCCCCUUGCACCGCCGACCGGGUAUAAGUCGAUGCACUCCCACAUCCCCGUCCCCGGUACACGGUGAAGCAACCCGGGGACAAGCUCAUAGUCGAUGAAAUCCUUGGUCUUGUAGGUCAUCACCAUGCCAGCAUGGCGGUCAUCCUUGGAGCCGAUAACGAGCCGCCAUGUGUCAUCGGAACCGUCGAACCACGCAGUGGUCGGGUCCCGGAAGUCCUUCUCCCCGACGCCCGGUGGCGGGUACAUCACCGGAUUGUUCUCAUACUUGGUCCAGUUGAUUAGUAAGGGAUCAGAGGGGUCACUAGGGAAGGCAAGGCACUGGACCUGGACAGAGGCGUUGGUGGAGCCGGUGUAGAGCAUGACGAUGCGGCCAUCGGGAAGGACAGUGGCGGAGCCCGACCAAACGCCGUUCAUGUCAUACCACUGGUCGGGGGACAUUGCGACGGGCAGGUGGCGCCAAUGGAGAAGGUCGCGAGAGGCGGCAUGACCCCACGCAAUCUUGUUGCCCCAAAUGGCGCCAUCUGGGUUGUACUGGUAGAAGAGGUGGUACCACCCCUUGUAGUACACUGGACCUGAAUUUGAAUUCUCAAAGAAAUGAGUUUCUGAUGGAAUCUCUAACAAGAAUAAGAAACUUAGAGCAAUGCCAUCAUUUGUAUUAGUGCAACAAAAGAGGAGAUGCGUACCGUUGGGGUCGUUCAUCCAGUUCUUCUCGGGCUGGAAGUGGAAGCCGGUGCGCUGCCACUGGAGCAUGGCAUUGCUCCACGGGAACGCGUUGCCACCGGCGUCCGCCCCAAGCAUGCCGCCGUGGGCGCUGGCGCCGGACGUCUUCUCCGAGACGCCGGACUCAGGGCCCCGGCUGCUGGUGCUCAUCGGCGCAGCGUCGACCUCGGUCGGGUGGCCGGACAUGACGAUGCCCGAGGCGGGCAGCUCGCUGGCGAGCCUGACCCCGGCGAGCGCGGCGACAGCAAGGAGCACCGCGGCCAAAGUCAGGAGCACUGCGGCGCACACCGGCCCGGUCCGGCCUGGGCGCGCGCGCCCGGCCUGGGCCUCGUCAUCGUCCAGCGGCAGCUGCGCGUAGGAGCAUGGCACCAGCGCCGGCAUCGAGCCGCGGUCUCUGGUCUCCAUUGACAUGGAAAAGAGACGGAGGAGACAAAGGAUGCCUCGAUCUCCGCAGAAUCCAAAGGAGGGAGAGGAAUUGGUGGGACUGAUCAAUUAUCGCCUCUGCUAAACUUAACAAGAACGAGGAGAAUGUGUGUGCCUGUGCGUGUUUGCCGAGGAGCUCCGCGGGUGCCAUUUAUAGUCGCCACCUUACUGCCUCAACGGCGCACCUGGCGCGGCCCCAUUGGCUGGCGGCGGCCGCGGCGCGGCGGGGCUGGAUUGUCAGUGCUAAUCAUCAUCCAUCCAGGCCAUGUUAUCCAGCUCGAUUAUGAUUACGCCCUGUCGCACUCACUGAUUGUUCUCUCAGAACCAACUACUCGUUGGCUCAGGCUGGAUACGUGUUUGUGCAUGUUCAGAUCCUUCCAUGCAUGUAUGAUUGAGUUAGGUUAGUUGUUAAUUAGCGAAAGACACGCUUAUUGUGUGAUACUAUGGUUAGCUAGCAUUGUUAGAGCAUCUCUAGUCUAUCUGCAAAGUUAGUUACCAAGAACCUAUAUACAAAACAUUUUUGGUGGGUGAAACUUCCGAUCUACUCCCUUCAUCCGAAAAAACUUGUCCCUUAAAUAGAUGUACCUAGCACCAAGUUAGUGCUAGAUACAUCCAUUUGAGGAGCAAGCUUGGGACAAGUUUUUUCGGACGGAGGGAGUAUUCGUAAUCAAGCAUGACAGAACACUAGAUAUAAUAAAAAUUACAACCAGGUCUAUCAAGCAACUAACAACGACUACAAGUACUAAAUCAAGGUGAAGGUGCGCCACGCUCUUCGCCCCUCCCUUACCGGAAUGGGCAGACCUUUUUGUAGUAGACAGUCAGGAAGCCAUCCCAAAAUUAACUUUUCAACAUAUUUUUUGCUAAUUCACAACUCAUUUUACAAUGAAAUUAUUAUUAUUAUUAUUUUCACAAUAUUACAUAAAACCGGAAAAUAGAACAUUUUGGAAUCUAUUUUUCAUUUCGUCUAACACAUGGCGUUCCUCGCGAGCCGGAGUGUCUGGUGGCCUGUGGGAGCUCGCUCCAGACACCGCGGUGGCCGGACGGGGAGCGUGCACGGAGCAAGAGAUGUGUCAUGGCCCAAUAGCCGGCCUCGGCGACGACCAAGGCUGCCUCUCCGCUCUGGAUUAAAGUGGUGGCCGACGAUCAAUUCUUUUGGUUUGUGUCUUAAAACCUUUUGGGUGUUAAACAUUGUCACGUUACAAGUCUGUACCGCAGCCUUGUACCUCAAGAUAUUGGAGUAGUUAGGAAGAUCCUUUUAUCUUUAUCUCUUGAUGUAAUCUUCCCUUAUCUCUCCAUGUAUCUCUCAACCGUAUAUGUAUGCCUCAUGCGAGAUCGGGCCUUGCCAAUAUCAAUAUAUACAUGCGGGCUCCUGUGUAUAGGAGUUGAGACGCUUCGAUCUAUUAUCUCACAUGGUAUUAGAGCUACCCUCUUCCCCUUCGUCUAGCUAUCCCUCCCAUCCUUCCCUUCCACCUCCAAACUCGACUAUGUCGACAUCCACCGCGGUAGUCUCCUCUGGCCUCAACAACAAUGUCUCCGAACCCCUCACACGAUCCAACUAUGUUCUCUGGCGCGCUCAAGCUCGCUCCCAGAUCAUGGGGGCCGGCCUCUUUGGGUACGUCGACAAAACCCUAGAACAACUAUCCAAAACCAUCACCAGCAAGAAUGCGGAGGGCAAAGAUCAGGUGGCUGUGAGCCCUGCUUAUGCGCCUUGGCUCAUCCAAGAUUAGCAAAUAGUUGCCUAUCUUCUUCGCAAUCUCUCCAAAGAAGUCCUAGUGCAAGUCGCAUCUCUUGAAACCUCCCAUGCCAUCUAGUCCGCCCUCGCCAACAUGUUCUCUGCCCAAUCCCGCUCCCGCUGCAACCACAUCCGCAUCGCACUCACCACCGCCCAGAAGGGAACCCAGUCGGCUGCUGCAUACUUCGGCUAUAUGCGGGGUCUUGCCGAUGAGAUCGCAGCAGCAGGGAAACCGAUAGAUGAGGACGAGCUCCUCUCCCACAUCAUCUCCGGGCUUGACAUGGAGUACCAGCCCAUCAUCAGCGCCUUGGACGUGCGACCUGAGCCGACCACGGUCGACGAGCUCUUCAGCAUGGUAUCCACCUUUGACCAGUGAGUCGAGAUGUUCCAGGGCACAGGCGGCCAAGCUUUCAAGUCUUCGGCAAUGCCGUUUCUCGCGGUCGGGGUGGCUCCUCCAAAGGCUACCGUGGCGGUGGCGGCGGCCCUCGUCGCGGAGGACAUGAUGGCAGCGGUGGUGGUGGCCACUACGGUAGUGGUGGCGGCGGCCACUACUCCAACCCCCACGGUGGUGGUAGCGGCGGCCACUAUAGAGAUGGUGGCAGCAACCAUGGCGGUGGCUAUGGCGGCCACUACUCCAACUCCGGCGGCAGUGGAGGAAACAACUACAACACCAACGCCGGUCGCCCCUUCUACAACAACAACAGGGGAGGCCAAAACAACUACAACAACAAUUUCAGAGGGUAUGAUGAAUAUGAAGGAAAAUGUCAGAUUUGCAAGAAAACUAAUCAUAUUGCAAAAGAAUGCAAGUGGCGCUAUGCAGAUGAUAACUCCCAGAAGAAAAAGGUUGCCGCAGCAGCCAACAAGUCAUAUGGUGUAGAUACCAACUGCUAUGUGGACUCUCGUGCAACCGACCACAUCACCCAUGAGUUGGAAAAAGUCACCAUGCAUGAAAGAUAUCAUGGACAUGAUCAAGUCCACAAUGCGAUGGUACAGGUAUGGAGAUAAGCAACAUUGGCCAUUCAAUUAUUCAUUCCCGACAUAGAGAUAUUCAUCUAAAUAAUAUUCAUCACUGUCCUAGUUCAUCCAAAAAUCUCCUUUCCGUUCAUCGCAUUGCUCUUGAUAAUCAUGUCUUUCUAGAAUUUCACCCAUUCUUCUUUUUGAUCAAGGAUCAGGUCACGAGGCAGGUUCUCUACCGAGGUAGAUGUGUGGAUGGACUUUACCUGUUGAUUCCCCAAGUUUGCAGAUUCAAUAAACAAGUGUGUAGUGCCAUUAGACUCUCACUUGAGCGAUGGCAUGCUCGUUUAGGCCAUCUCUCUUUCUCUAUUGUUAAGCAAGUUCUUAGCAAAAAUAAACUCUCAUUUGUUGGAGAGCACAAUCCUGAAACAGUGUGUGAUUCUUGUCAAAAAUCAAAAAGUCAUCAGUUGUCAUACCCUAUAUCAACUAGUGUUUCUACCAAACCACUACAACUUAUAUUUUCUGAUGUAUGGGGGCCUGCUCCUCUUUCUGUUGGUAGACAUGCUUAUUAUGUUAGCUUCAUUGAUGAUUUUAGAAAAUAUACAUGGAUAUAUCUCCUCAAAAAACGAUCUGAUGUCUUUCAAGUCUUUCUCAAUUUUCAAGCUCUUGUUGAAAGACAGUUUGAUAGUAAAAUCCUUGCUGUUCAAUCCGACUGGGGGAGGGGGGUGAAUAUGAAAAGUUAAAUUCCUUCUUUCAGAAAUUGGGAAUAUCUCAUCAUGUUUCUUGCCCACACGCACACCAGCAAAACGGCUCUGCCGAGCGUAAACAUAGACACAUAGUUGAGGUAGAUCUUGCUUUGCUUGUUGCUGCAUCUAUGCCACUGGAAUUUUGGGACGAAGCAUUUCUUACUGCUGUGCAUCUCAUAAACAUCUUGCCAAGUCGUGUCAUCAAAUAUGACACUCCCACUGAACGGCUUUUGCAUGCUAAACCGAACUAUACUCCACUUCGUGUGUUUGGCUGUGCAUGUUGGCCUAAUCUUCGUCCUUAAAACAAUCGAAAACUUAUGUUUCGUUCCAAGCAAUGCGUAUUUCUUGGCUAUAGUGCACAACACAAAGGAGUUAAAUGUCUAGAUAUUCCCACUGGACGCGUCCACAUCUCUCGUGGCGUUGUCUUUGAUGAAACACAAUUCCCUUUUGCCAAACUCCACCCCAACGCCGGUGCACUCCUCUGAAAAGAAAUCCUUAUGUUUCCUCCACAUCUCUCUGGUAUUGAUAGUGGGGAAGAAAAUAAUUGUUUUGGUCCAUUAUUGCCUAACUCUCCUAAGGUUUGCACAAUUGUACUGUUUCAAAAAUAUCAGCUGCAGAAAAUGGUGCAAACACUGUUGAAAACAGGUUGGAAAAUACUGCUACAGUGCAAGAUUUCAUGUGCACACACUUCCACUACAAGAAAUAUGUCAACUAGUGACCUUCUGUCAGUGACUCUGGAAGAAUUGGUCAUAGAUCUAUGACCAUUUGAGACCAAUUGGUCAAAAGCUGUUCGGGGGGCUCCAAACCCUAUACUAUAACGACCAUUUUUGUCAAAAAGGUCGUAAUUUCCUUACACGAAAUGGUCAUAAAGCGGACAGCACUUAUCUGCUGCCUUAUUUCUAGUUGGUCAUGACCAAUAUAGAUGGUCAUAACCUUGUAAGUUGUGGUGGAUUGCUAUGACUAGGCGCCACCUCAUCAGUUUUGCCUAUGUGUCAUGUCCAUGUGUCAAUUUUUGCCCUAGGUUGUGAAGCAACCUAUAUUUCUGUUCGUCCCAAAAUUUCGAAAAAUUCUCAUAAAUUCUUUGGAUCAUAUCUUCGUCAAAUAUGUCAAAAACCUUCCGUGCCUAGUUAAAAUAUAGUUCAACAAUAUUCAUUUUCCUAUUCUGUUCAGAACAGCACUUUGUGAAGGAAGUGCUAUUUUUAUAUUCUUGAUUGCCCUCAAAAAAUUUGGGCACUCUUUCCUAUCCAAACCAUUGCCUCGUGACAAAAUUCAGCUCCAUUUGCCUAGUAAAUCUUCCUCGGCAAAUUUCCAAAGUUUUUGUCCACCUAGAAGCAUUGUGAAGGAAGUACUAUCUAUGCACAUCCAAAUGGCGUGAAAUUUAUACAGUGCCUUCAUAUGCACAAAUUAUCACCCUCCUCCAAAUUGCAGCUCAAUCAAAUCAUCUAUGUGAGCCCAGCUUCAAUUUUUAUUUUCUGUCCAGAUUGGCACAUUGCAAAGCAAGUGCCAUCUAAACUCCUCCAUUUGAGCUGAAAAUUUGCCAAGACAGUCUCCCUAGUAUAUGAUCAUCCUCAGCCAAAACUCAGGCCCAUUGGCCUUGUGAAUUUCCCGUACCGCUAAUCAAACACUUGGGUACUAAUUCAUGUUUGAGCAUAGUUCGGUCUCCUCGUGAGAUUCUUCUAUUGUUAUUUUCUUCCAAGCAUCUACCUGGGGAGUACCAAACCUACUAGACAUGCCUAGGCUUCCCAGAAUGCAUGUCAACGCCACGGUCACGCGGCGGGCAUGCGAGUCUACGCGCUUUGGAGUUGGGGCCCUAGGCCACCAUCCAAACCUCAACGUAUCACCACCAAACCAUGUAUUUAUGCUUAAAUAGAUAGUUAUGUACCUAGAAAUGAUUUUUGGAAAAAUAAAGAGCAAACUAUAAGGCAGCUACAGUUCAAAUUUGACCCGCUUCCUACUGAAUCGGCAGAAAUUUGUCUUUUUCACCAGAGGUGGAUAAAAAACUUUUUACACCCAACCAUUUUGUCAAUUGUGCAUUAAACAUGGCCUAGUAUUUUAUAAAAUUGAUUUGGUCCAUUUUUGCAACAAUUAUUUGGUAGUUCCUUCACAAAAAAACCCUCUCACCCACCCACCGCGAGCUACCCUAAAAAAACAAACAAACCCACCGCGCAGCGAACCCUAGCCCCGGCACACCACUCCUCCUCCCUUCCAGAUCACCUCCGCCACCUCCUCCUUUCCAGAUCGCCGCCUCCACCUCCCUCCGGCCGAGCUCCCCGCCAUCCAUGGCCUCCCCCACGCCCUCCUCCUCUCUCCCAUCCCCUUCCCUCACUGCGAGCCCUUCUCCCCCGCGAGCCCUCUCUCUCUCCCUCCCGCGACUCCUCUGCUCCACCCGAUUCCGGCGAGUUGAGGCGGCUCUCGCCGGCGCGCAGCUCUUUCUUCCCCUCCCGUCAGAUUCAUCUCUCGUACCCUCUAGUGCAAGCCCGCAACCUCACCCGUGGCUAGGGAUUCGCCCCAUGUCCAUUUUUCUAGAGGACGGGCAUGGCGCGCGCGGGCCAUGCGCCGGCGACGAGGGCGCCGGAUCCAGGGGCAGGGCCCCCUUCUCCUCAUGCUGCAUCCGUCGGCCUCCUCCUACUCGAGGAGGAGGAGCAGGAGCAGGUGGGGCGCACCUAGCCCCCAAGUUCGCCGCCGUCGAGGGCUUCUACGACCUGGAUCCCGACCUCCAUGGCGCCGUCUUCCAGCAACUCGAGGUCAAGGUGCUCUCCCUUCUCUGUUUGAUUCGAUCCGGCAGCCGUGGAUGUGGAUGUGGGUUCCUCACGCCUCUCAGUCUGCCCUGUUCGUGAUGUGCUGCAGGUCAAGUCCACUCACGCGAUGUGCCCGUCCAUGGAGAGGAGCAGCAGCAACUCAAGGUCGAUUUUUCCCUCCACUCCUCUCUCGUUUUGAAAUCCUAGGCUGGGUUGGGUUACCUCAUGUGCUUACAUGCUUCCCUGUUUGCUUGCUUGUUGCUGCUCUUACUCAUGGCCGUCCAGAUUAGCUAGCGUGCUUAGGCAACCUAUGGUGGUCACUAUUUUUCUCAUGUGAUUCAACUCUACAAAUACUCUGCCUGUUUAAAAUCUGAAACAAAUUGCUUGGUUUGCUGCUGGUCUGAAUCCACUCACAUGCUUGACAGAACAACUUGCUGCUAUUGCUGUCACACCCUAGUGAAAUGAUCAUGUAGGAAGUAGGUACCAUAAAUAUAUGAAAGGCUACAAUCCUUGAGAGAACCUGGCUCUACUUUUGCAAAUGUUUAGUUUACUCAUGAUAUGGUUUCUGUAGCUAUGUGACGCCACAUUAAACAUCUGUUUGAUGUAAAUAGUGAUCUCAGUUUCCAUACUGAAGGUAGGAUUUCUGUGUUAAACCUAGGCCUGUUGUUCUUUGUUUAUCUCCAUUGAUUCCCAGAUAGCUAGUUAUCUGUCUGACUCCAUUUCCUGUCAAAAUAUGUUUUUCCACCAAUACUUUUUGCACAAUACUUCAUGUAUCAAGUUUUGAUAUAAAUCUGUCAUGCAGGUGUAUGGAAGCACGAGAAGAGUGAUGGCCAUGAAGACUAUGGUCUCCUUGUUAGCGAGCCAGCCAGGAUAUAUGCCAUAGUCAAAGAGCUUGAUAGUCCUGUUACUUUGAAGGAUGGGACUGUUGUCCUGCAAUUUGAAGUGAGGCUUCAGAAUGGCCAUACUGUGAUUGGCUUACUCUUCAUGUCUUAAUUUGUUUCUAUGCUUAGUGUAGCUGUAUUAGACGGUUGCUUGUGUAACUGUAUUCCCGAUCUGAACUCUAUGGUUUUGUGGCAGUCAUGUCUGCACCACAUAAGCCUAGCUCUUUUAGUUCCAUGAUCAACUUGUCUAUGCAGUCCAAGCCUUCUAAACUGUGAUUGGCUCACUGUCCAUGUCUUGAUGUGAUUCUGUGCUUAAAACGGUUUGCUAGUUAGGCUAAUAUCGAUCUAAACUUUGUGUUUUUGUGUCCAAUAGUUCUGCACUGCAUGAGCUAAAUUCUGUUGUCCAUCAGCAUGGUUGACUUGUCAUUUAUGUGGACGUUUGUUAUUAAUGUGAUUAGUAGUGUAUGUAAUGCUAUAUGGAAGGCUGCACUGCUUAACCAGCUUGUUUAGAAUUGGGAUAUUUCUGUAUUAAUGAUUUUAUCAUUCUUGAACUCAGCUCGUUUCAGAUCUGUACUGUUAGCACUGGGAUAGAUCUGUGCUUCUUGUAGUAUAUAUGACCUUAAUUUAAAUAUGAGUGACGUCCGAGUCAUUUUAACUAUGAUUAGUAAUAGCACUUCUGAUUUGAUGGUGAAAUCAUUAAACUGAUACUGUGCUUUUGUUAACUCUAUAUUCUAAUGCUAUCAUAUGUAAGAAAUGAAUGGAUUUCAUCCUUACUGAUUGAUGCUCUCUUUCAAUUAAUAAUACAUGCAUGCCUUUAUGUUAUGUGUUCAUUGCCUGAUUUUAUAAUAGUUCUGGCCUCUUGCAAAUAAACAUUAUACCUAUUUGCACACUGCUGCCUUGGAACAAUAAUAAAAUAUGAAUAUGUGCUAUUUGCUGGCAGUCCUUCUCUUUCCAAUAUACAUAAAAGUUUAGAGACUAUCAAUCCGAAAAUAUGAAUAUGUAAAUUUUGUUCUCAUUUCUCAGUUUUCGCGCCUCUUGUUGAUGCAGGUGCACCUGAUUGUUAUUGAGGACAUGGUCUUGUUUUUGGCGCGCCCAAGUAUUGGGUGAUGCUUGCCUACAUGGUUACUGCAGCUCCAGUUCAGGUGGGCGCUCUAGCUCCUCCUCAUGCCCUACAUGCAGGUACACCCUUCCACCAGUACCUACUUGGACACACAAAAUAUUAGUAGAUACAAUUGACUUCUGCUUAUAUUAUGUUGCCAGCUUCAUCUGUUUUGAUCAUUAGAAUAUUGCCUUCACACUAUCUAAUUUCUGCGACUUCAUCUGUUUUGAUCAUUAGAAUAUUGCCUUCAUACUAUCUAAUUUCUGCAGUCAAGAUGCUCUUGACUAACCAGAAAUGUUCUUUUGAGUUCCAUACGUUGCGUAAAACAUUUCAAUCUGUCAUUGAGUUAGCUAUAUAAUUCUGUGAUACCAUUUCUGUACUGUGAUAGUUUCUCAUAUUUUUGUAUUAUACGUGUAUACAUUAUUCCUAUUUGAAGUCAUCAACUGAGAUGUUGCAAACAUUCCCGCCAUGUGCUGCUUCCUUUUUCAUGCUUUGCUACUAGAUCAUUUGCUUGAACUGAUAUUGUUGGUGUAUUUGUGCUUAUAAUUAUGCUUCUAUGUGGUUGUUGCAGCAUGACCCAACCAAAUAAACAUCUGUGCCGUGAUCAAGCUCUAAAAGUGUGGUGUUUCCUCUCUUUACAUGAGCUCAGGGCUGAAGAAAUUUGAAGAAGCUUAAAACUCGACAAAGUACAGAGUAGCUAGUUAUAAUGUGGUGCUAGUUAUGUUGUACAGUGGCCAGCAUAUCUGGUUGUAUAAACACUAUGUAAAUACUGUAAUUUCGUAUGAUGUACAGUAGUCAGCAUAUUUGGUGCUAAUUUUGGCUAUCAUUUUAAUAGUUUCAAGUGUGAGAAAUAGAAAGAUGACCAGUGGGACAAACGAAAAGGCCAAGGCCCAAAAAGUAGAUGGUCUGUAAAAAGGCCGAGGCCCAAAACAGAAAUGGACUAUAAAAGGGUUGAGGCCGAAAAAAAUGGUCUAUAUAAAAGGCAAUGGAACAGAAAUUUAAAAGGCCGAAUAGUUGGACCAGGCCCAUAUAGCUGACAAAAUUAAUAAGAAAAAAAUAUAUAAAAAGGCUGAAUUAUUGGGCUCGGCCCAUGUAAAACACCUAAUCGGACCGGGCUGAAUCUUGUCAGUGACCUUUUUAGUUGGUCGUAAUUUUGCCACGUCAGAUUGCCACGUCGGAUCCGACGUGGCCUGGGCAGACAGCCAGUGACCUUCUCUGUGAGAAGGUCGUUAAUUUCAGUUUACGACUGCCAGCUUUUGACCUUCUGUUUUUUAUCACAAAAAGGUCGCAAAUGAAAAACAAUGACCUUUCAGUGACCAAUAGUCAAGGUCACAAGUUGACAUAUUUCUUGUAGUGUUCCCAACUGCAUCCACCUCGGGAUGGUCAUCGCCAGACCCGCCAGGGGCCUCGGGAUCCACCCAGAUCCGCCCGUCAGAAGCACCCGCGGCUACAGCACGCCCUGCAGCGCGCCCCGCCCCGGGAUCUGUGCCUGUCCCUGGCUCCUCCUCGUUGACGGGUGGGCCUGCAUGUCGCUCACCGAACCCCGCGCCCUCCACCCGCGCGGACAUCACCAAUCAUCGCCCCGCCUCGGCCGACCGCGCGGGGCCCCGCACUGACGCUGCUUCCCCGGCCCACGCUGCCUCCUCGGGUUUGGAGCCCACGGCGGAGGCUGAUUCGCCAGCACCAUCUGACGCGUCCCCAGGCUCGGGAUCCGCGACGGCUGCAGAUCCUCUUGCAGCACCUGGUCGGGCGCCAGGAUCCUCUGCGGCUGCUUCUUCACCUCCACGUACACGUCUACAAAGGGGAGUCACAAACCGUAUAAACUACAAACAUAUUUCCAAGUAUGGUCUCACUUGUUUGACAGGAGAAGCUAGUGAACCCAAGACCCUGGCUGAUGCACUUGGGGAUGCACGCUGGAAACAUGCCAUGGAAGAAGAAAUUUCCGCGUUGCACCGUAACAAAACAUGGCAUCUUGUUCCUCGUCGUGCAGGUACAAAUUUAAUUGAGUGCAAAUGGGUUUAUAGGGUCAAACGAAAAUCAGAUGGUACUAUUGAUCGUUACAACGCACGUUUGGUUGCAAACGGAUUUAAGCAACGCUAUGGCAUUGACUAUGAGGAUACUUUCAGCCCUGUUGUCAAGGCUACAACUAUUCGUCUUGUGUUAUCUAUUGCUGUUUCCAGGGGAUGGAGUCUUCGACAGCUAGACAUUCAGAACGCGUUUCUUCAUGGUGUUCUGGAAGAGGAGGUGUACAUGAAACAACCUCCUGGGUUUGAGAAUAAAGAUGCACCCCUUCAUGUUUGUAAGCUUGACAAGGCUCUGUAUGGACUGAAACAGGCCCCCAGAGCUUGGUAUUCUCGGUUAAAUCUAAAACUGCAAGCACUCGGCUUUAUUCCCUCAAAGUCUGACACUUCUUUAUUCAUUUUCAACAAGUUUCACACCACCAUCUUUGUCCUCAUAUAUGUUGAUGACAUUAUUGUCACAAGUUCAUCUAGCUCAGCAAUCACAUCAUUGUUAAAUGAUCUUAGGUCAGAUUUUGCUCUUAAAGAUUUGGGUGAUUUGCACUACUUCUUAGGCAUUGAAGUAAUGAAAACUGAAUAUGGCAUUCACUAUCACAAGGCAAGUAUGUGACUGACCUAUUGCGUAGAAUUGGUAUGCAAGAUUGCAAGUCUUGCCCAACUCCUCUGUCCAGUUCGGAACCACUCUCUUUGACAGAAGGAGAACCCCUGAAUCAGGAGGACAGUAUAAGUUACAGGAGCAUUGUUGGUGCACUUCAGUACUUAACUCUGACCAGACCUAACAUUUCCUUUGCAGUUAACAAAGUAUGUCAGUUCUUGCAUGCCCCUACCACAGCUCACUGGACUGCAGCAAAACGUAUUUUGAGGUAUGUCAAUAAUACAAUGGGUUUUGGUCUAGCAAUCAACAAAUCAUCUUCCACUCGUGUUAGUGCUUUCUCUGAUGCGGACUGGGCUGAUUGCUUGGAGGACAGAAGGUCCACGGGGGGCUUUGCUAUUUUUCAUGGACCUAAUCUGAUUUCAUGGUGCGCAAAGAAGCAACCUACUGUUUCCAGAUCUAGCACUGAAGCAGAAUACAAGGCAUUGGCCAAUGCCACAGCUGAAGUUAUUUGGGUUCAGGCCAUAUUAAAAGAACUUGGAGUAAUGCACACUCAAACUCCUCUUCUUUGGUGUGAUAAUCUUGGAGCAACUUAUUUGUCUGCUAAUCCAGUGUUUCAUGCUAGAACCAAACACAUUGAAAUAGACUUUCAUUUUGUUAGAGAAAGAGUUGCAAACAAAGAACUUGAGAUCAGGUUUAUUCCCUCUAAAGAUCAGCUUGCAGAUGGGUUUACCAAGGCAUUACCUACUAGAAGCUUUGAAGUGUUUCGACGUAAUCUCAACUUAAUCCAGUUGUGAUUAUGGGGGCGUGUUAAACAUUGUCACGUUACAAGUCUGUACCGCAGCAUUGUACCUCAAGAUAUUGGAGUAGUUAGGAAGAUCCUUUUAUCUUUAUCUCUUGAUGUAAUCGUCCCUUAUCUCUCCAUGUAUCUCUCAACCGUAUAUGUAUGCCUCAUGCGAGAUCAGGCCUCGCCAAUAUCAAUAUAUACAUGCGGGCUCCUAUGUAUAGGAGUUGAGACGCUUCGAUCUAUUAUCUCAGAUUGGGGACUAAACAUUUUUUGGGGAAUGGAAUAGAGAUGCUCUUACCCGCAGAUUAAUUAGGUAAGGAGAAAAAUUUCACGACAUGGAACUAGUGCAAUUUGGCCGAGCUAACAAACAGCUAAUUUAGUUUCUGCAUUAGGCCGCCAUGUGCAUAGUUAUAGAUUCUAUUGAGAGCGAAAAAGGGCCCAAUAAUUCAGCGAGCCGAAACCGAUGGGCUACUCCUUCCGUGGGUUACACACUCUUUCACAUACGAAAGCCUCCUUUUCCGCAUCUCUAAAACAACGACGACAAACAUUAGAAGAUGGAGAGGGAAGAGAGGAUGGGCGUGUGGUUAAGCAACGCCAAGUGGCAGCGACCGUUUUGGCCAUGAAAAAUGACACCAUUGCAUAGCACACUCUGCCUGCACGCCACACGCAUACUCCUCCAAUGAUGAUCUGCGACGUGCUGACUCACCAUUGUCUGGAACAGAUUCGAGAGGAUGCACCAGAGCCAGUCAGCAACUAGGUAGUUAAGCAAGCAACAAGUAUUGGUCCCGCACUCAUGCUGCUUAUGCAUGAUGCUGACAACCAAUAAGUAGCAAUCAGUAGUAGCUUAGGCUCAACACAUACUACUAAUCAGUCAGAAGAAACUAGGAAACAAGGGUAAUUAAUCUUCUUUUUUGUGAUCGUAAUGGUAAUGGAUAGAGGGAGAGGGGAUGUGUGGUGGUGGUCACAUAUGUUUGUCCUAGGAGGACGGUCAUUUCCACGGGACCAAUCAACCGAGAAGAUCUGGCAGAUCCAGCAUCUACAUCAUCACCCGUACAAUAAUGCCCAACACUGUAUAGUGUUCUAUUGGAAUUAGGAUAGAGACCUUUGCGCGAUCGACGCGGUGCAUGGUUAAAGCAUUUCUUCUAAUUUUUUCUGAGUUGAAUAGAACCUAGCUACUCCUGGUUGUGGAUCACUCCACGUGUUAGGACUCCAUCUGGCAUCAAUCGAUCAACGGGCGACAAUGUGUCGGCAGAGCAUUGUUCAUUGAAAUUUGCACUGCAACGAUGCUGGCUCAAUGUUGCAGAAUGUCCGAAAUGAUGCUGACAAGGACUAACCCCAUACUAUGUUCACCACACUUGCCCCAUACUUUGUUUACCACGUUGACGCUGCUGUUUUUUUUUUAACAGGGCGCUGCUGUUGAAUUUAUAUACACAAAGCCAAUGAUGUACUUAGACUUAAACCUACAUGAACUAGUACCCAGCCUAGCCUAAACAAGGUAGGACACGUGACAGCUAAUCUAGCAUAGCAUUGACACGGUCACACACUGGUGUAGCAACGUCCUAUAUACCCUGUUUUNNNNNNNNNNNNNNNNNNNNNNNNNNNNNNNNNNNNNNNNNNNNNNNNNNNNNNNNNNNNNNNNNNNNNNNNNNNNNNNNNNNNNNNNNNNNNNNNNNNNNNNNNNNNNNNNNNNNNNNNNNNNNNNNNNNNNNNNNNNNNNNNNNNNNNNNNNNNNNNNNNNNNNNNNNNNNNNNNNNNNNNNNNNNNNNNNNNNNNNNNNNNNNNNNNNNNNNNNNNNNNNNNNNNNNNNNNNNNNNNNNNNNNNNNNNNNNNNNNNNNNNNNNNNNNNNNACGACCCCGAAAAACGUCGGUGAUAGGAAGUAAGAAUGCACAUGUUUGGCAGAACUAAGCGUAUGCGAUGGCCGCGUCUAUGCCAACCGUGAGUCAAUACCCAAUCGUUUGUGAUAUAUCAAAUUUCCCAAACGAUCCAUCCUUUCUACUUGUGUGGGAUGGCUUUACCAUCGCACACAGUAUUCAAUGGUGCAACGUUUACGAUGCGCCCCGCAUCAUAAACAGUUAAUGAUUGUAAGUCGUAUAUGAUAAAUGAUCUAUAACAAGCAUUUAGUUCUAUAAUACCGCCUGUGAUAGGAUGUAAGAAUACAGUUGUCCCUAUAAAACUCUAUGCGAAGUUCGAAUCUAUCCAACACGUUGCUUAUGGAUUCUGCUGAGAGUGAUGCAGGCCCCGCAAAUGAUUCAGCAAACCGAAAACGAUGGGUUGCUCAUGGUCAUGGCGGCCGAGCCAUCUAGUAGCUUACACUCCUCCAAUUUACUCUUUCCUUGGUUACAUCCUGUCUCUCGCAUACGAAAGCCUCCUUUUCGGCAGCACCGUUUCGGUCAUGACUAAUUAUUAGAAGUCCCUGGACUACUCCUGUCCAUCGGCCAACAAUUAGUGGCCUCUCCUUCUCCCACCACUGCAUUGCACACACGCCACAUGCAUGCUUUGAGUACCAGCACACUCCAAUGACGAUCCAUGGCGUGCUAACUCACCAUUGUUGGGGAGAGAUUCUAGAGGCUGUACCGCAGCCAGUCAGCAGCUCGUUAAGCAAGCAAUAAGUUCUGGAGAGACCGAUCACACCAAUAGCAAUUAGCAGUAGCUUUGGUUCCUCAUAUAUUUAUGGUUGGGCUUAAUCUUGGCUUUGCCAAAAGCCUUUUUGGGUUAUAAGGCAAAUUCAGGAACACAACAAGGACAAUUAAGUGUGGGUGUUCUUAAUGGUGAUGGAUGAAGGGAGAGGGGAUGUGUGGUGCUGGUCACGUCUGUCCUACGAACCAACCAACCAAGAAGCUCUCGCAGACCCGGCAUCUGCAUCACCACACGUGCAAUAAUGCCCAAUAAUGCAGAGUUCUAUUGGAAAUAGGAUAGAGACCUUUGCUUGAUCAAUGCGGUGUAAGUUAAAGCGUUGUCUUCCGAUUCUCUCCGAGUUGAAUAGAACCUAGCUACUCCUGGUUAUGGAUCACUCCACGUGUACUCCAUCUGGCAGGUGCCACAUCAUGUCACUCCAUCAGUCGACCACCAGGCAACAACGCUUUGGCUGAGCAUUAUUCAUUUAACUUUGCACUGUACAGACGCAAGCUCGAUGCUGGAGAGCGUCUGAGAUGAUGCCGACAAGGCCUAACAACAUGCAUUGGAUCGUGAAUGAUGCGGACCACAAAAAACAAUGGCGUGGGACGAAUGCCAGUUACUUGUAACAUGCACUGAAGAUUCAUUCGUUCGAAAGAAAAGAAAACAAAGCACAAACAUGUACCGGUAGGCGAUAGUGGAUAUAAGCAGAGAUGAAGAGAGAUCCGCGCGACCAGAAAAUGCAGGCCGAUGUGUGUCCCCGUCCUAGCUGGCUAUGUACGAUCAAUAGAUGUCCUUUCGCAUCAAGUUAACACUACAAUGGUUCUUGCAAUCCCAAGAUGAUAUGUCAGCUCAGUCUCUCGACGGUGCUCGUAAGAGUAGGGUAUGCGUGUGUGUGUUCAUUGGGAAAAGUGUAUACGCGUAUAUAUAAGCGUCUGCGUCUGUACUGUGUUUUAAAAAACAUCAUAUGGUAAUAAUACUAUUGUAGGGAUGGGAUUUACCCACUCCACCCAAUUGAAGCCGCAAAAAAUUCCCGGAACCCAACUCUUGGCCAUGGCAGGCACCAAUUGUCGCUCCUCCCUGAGGUGCGCCAUUUGGUCACUACAUGCAACCAAGCGCUUUUCCUCCUUACACAUUAUUAGAUGACAUGUCAGCGAGAGUUAUAAGGUCGAGAUUAUGAGCCCGGUGACAAUCAGCACUACUAGCAAUUAUUCGGGAAUGAAUUUGGACAUAGAAAAUAAUCCACUUAGUUGAACCUAUUGCAAAACCGCCACCAAUAAUCCUGAUUACUCUCCUUCCCACUCGGUGAUUGCCGCACCAAACUUACCCCACACCACUACAUCAUUCUUUGGGUUCAAUGCAAUUUUUGUGUGCUCCUUGCUAUUUAGCUUAAACAUGGACUACAUUUUGACAAAUAAAAAAAUUGAGAAUGUAGAUUCCGUGAAGUGAGAAAUAAGGCUUCAUGAAUAAUCAGCGGACCGAAACUGACGAGGUUUUGUCAGAUUCUCUUGCACUGUCAGCAUGGGUAGUCAUGGAGGUCCCACCUACGUUAUGCUCCUAGUACCCUCUCAGAAAGAAUGUCUCUCUUUUUCUUUUCUGCAUCACCAAACCAUACCACACAAGAUGGAUCACGGAUGUGUGGUUAAGCUAGCAAUACAUGGUGGCAGCAGCGGUCACAACCUGAUCGAUCGACAGGAUGGUGCUCUUGCAAUUUCUCCGUCGAUUGAUGACAUCAAACUAGUCAAACACACGUGUAAAAAUACUUUUAGCCAAGGGCACAUAUUGUAACAUCUUUUUCCUUUAUUUUUCUAUUUUCAUGGUUACAAUCUAUAUAUAGCCUCACAUGUGUUAUAUACACAAAGCCAUUGAUGUACUACUAAGACUUAAACCUACACGAACUACUACUCAGCCUGGUCUAAACUAGGUAGGACGCGGACAGAGCUAAUCUAGCAUACCAUCGACACGGUCACACCUCCUAAUUAAUAUACGUGGCAAGCAUACCACUAAUUAGGCACCUACUAGCAUAAUAAUUAGUAUAAGAGCGAACCAACUUGUGGUUGGAUAGUUAGGAGGACAAUGGUAUCCUCAACACAUCAGAGUUCAAGUCGUAGACUUGGCAUUGUUGUUCGCAUUUUCCUAGAUUUAUUUCAGUCCUUUCGAUGAUGUGCGUUCAGUGAGAGGAGACGGUCCGUCGACUACGAAAGCCAUCCAUGCAGGCACCGAGUGCGGGCCGCAUGCACCUCUCACAUGGAGUGCUAGGUUACUCCAGUGACAAUCUGCGAGGUGCUGACUCGCCAUUGUUGGUGGGAGAGAUGGGGUAUGAGUUCUACACGGAUCCAUCUGGAGAACCUACCAUGGCCAAUCAGCAGCUAGCUAGCCAGGCCAAGCAACAAUUUCGGGCUGGAGUACAGUAGGUAGGUAGUGGGGGUGCUACUGGUCCUGUAGCGUGGGUUCACCGACACAUAGUAACAAGAAAACAAACAUGAAUGGGUGGCUGAUGAAAUUACCAAUCCAUCAUGGAUAAGAGGAAUUUUGGAGCUACUACUAGGAGCUGGCCUCUGUGUGGUCACCGAGAAGGAGAUUCAACAUUGAUCACUGCACUUGUACAGUGCAAUAACGAGAUGAUCUCCAAUUUUCUCCGGAUUGAACGGAACCUAGUCCUGCUGGCUCUGGACGUGGAUCGCAACAACAUUCUACGACGCCGUAUAUGACUAUGGUAACAACAAAGCUAGAUUCCUCCCAAAUCAUUCAGCUAACCGAAACCGAUGGCUUCCAGGUAUCCUUCCCUGAGCUGUUAGCAUCUUGACUAGGGUAUAUGUGUGGCUGUAUGUGACGAAUAAUUUUACGGUUCAUGUUGUAUCUUUGAAAGUGAUGCUUAUGACUCGUGUGAGGUAGUACUUACGCACAACCACCACAUAAGGGGCUAGUGUAACAUGUCAAUACCACUUUGUGAACAACCUGCGAAGAACCACCAAAAUUCCGCCUAAUGAGUACUAACACAUAUCACUGAUUGUGGCCUGAGCUCGCGAAAACAAGAAAACUGACUGGGUGGGCCCGCUUGUCGGGUUGGCGUGGCGAUGAGUGGUCAGGCGUCCAUGAUGUGUGAUUUGAAAAAAAAUAUGAGAAAUAAGAAAGGGGGGAAAGAGGUGAGUGUCAGAUAGGUGGGACCCUUGUCCAAAUCUACCGUUCAAAUAUUGACUUGGAUUAGUCUUCGCCACGCCAGCUUGACUGUGGGCCCAACAUGUCGGAUUCGUUGUUUUCGCAAGCUCAAGCGAUGAUCGGUGCGGAAAAAGAAGAUUUUGGACUUUCUGCCAACGAAGAAAUAGUAGCAUUUGAAACUGGAAAUUUUUACUUUGGAUAGUAAAUCCCCAAGGAAGGGCUAUAAUCCAAAAAAGGAGGAGCUAGCUGACAGUUCGAAUUUCAACGAUUAGGGAGGGGAGUGAAACACUUGUCUUCCACGAUCAUUUUUUUUUAUGUUUAGGACACGCGAAGUGAGAGCGAAACUCUCUAUGCGGAGAAGACUCGGCAAGAGAGGUUUGGACAAGAGGAACUGCCUUAAUUUGGCUGGCUGAAGGGGGAAGUGCAUGAAUGAACCCGGAUACAUAUGAAUCCACUUCAGAAAACAUAUUUUUAAAUGCCAAAAAAACUACUCCCUCCAUCUCAUAAUAUAAUAUAUAUAUUGAUUGUAAUAACAUCUUAUAUUUGGCUGGAUGGAUGGUGCUACCACGUCAUCAAUCCAGUUUUAACUGUUACUGACUUUGUGACAUAGCAGGGUGCAACAGGUGGCGAUAAUUACUAGAAAAAUAGAAAACAAUGCAACAACUAGCAAUAAAUGCAUAUAGGAAAAGUGAACGGGGCUACAUGACACGCAAAGAGGGGUGCAUCGUGCAUGUGUGUGUGACUGAGUGUCAUUGUCCUAGCUAUGCUGUCUCUCUUCAUCUAGAGGCAUGGUUUCUUGAAGACUCAUCGACACGAGGCAGUACAAUAAUGCGGGCGAAGGUUGGGACCAUGAAUCUAUCACCAGACUCCAAUUUAGCCUUGCUAAUUCUCAUACCCAUCCAUGGAAUCCAGACUCCUGGCUGUGGCUCUUGCCAUGUGUUGCUCCAUAUGGCCCAUGCCACAUCGGAUGUCCUUUCUCUUUUUGCGGUGGACACUCCAAAAUUAUGUGCUCGACAAUGCGACUUGAAUGAUUACUCAAACAUUCUACGUUGCCAAGGCACAAUGACAUGUGGCAACAGUUGGUACAACUAGCAGCAACCUACGAGGCACGUGAGGAUAUCGGCCAUAGUUAUCUACGAUCCCGAUGAAGCCGACCACGAAAAUGAACGCACAUGCGUGUUGUAACCUCGAAAUUUUUAACUUGACUCACAAGGCGUCUAACACAUGGCAGCAUAUUAUUACAGUCGGUAAUGAUCACAAGUACUACCAUACUAGGUAGCGCACAUCUGUCGACAUUCAAGCUAACCACCACUAGAAUGUUGACCUAAUCAACUCCACUGCUAGGUGGCCACCUUAGUUUAUGACCCCACCCAUGCUCACCACGUGAUGUUGCCCACUUGACUUCCACAUAUCAGCACUAAUAUACGCGUGCAAAAAUAUAUGUGAAAAUUUGUCAUUAGAAGAAGAUAACUCGAUAAAGUUAACAAUAAACUAUGCACACACUUGGCACGCACACACGGGUGUGUGUGGUUGUUACCUUGUUGGCUCUUUGGUUGUGUCUAUUCGUCUUUGUCAAGGACAAUUUCCUCGGACCAAACUUGCAAGCAACCAAUGCAAGUUGCAAUAACGCAUCGUCCAACGUUGCAAUGAUUCUGUUUUGUUUGUCGACAACACGAACAUGACAUGAACCACACAAAACCGCCGAUGUGCCUUUUUUGCUGAUUAAUUGGGUUUCACAAUUUACACAUUUCUGAUAAGUUAACAUGUGCUUCCUUCGUCCAAGUUUAUUAAGGCCCCUCUUAUUUUGGUUCAAAAAUUGACCACAAAUUUAACUAAUGAAAUGUAAACUAUAGGUGACCAAAAGCAUACCUUUAAAAACCUCUUUCGAAUACAAAUAAAAUACUAUACUUUGCAUUUGCAUGUGAAUAACUGUUUGUCUAUCCCCGCCAAAAGACAAGAAAACAGAAACUGUCUAUCAGUCUAACUAAUUGUUAGAGAAUAUUUCACAAUGAUUUUUAUACAAGAAUUCAUUAGCAUUAGGCACUGCAUUAGUUUCACUUUCUAGAAACGGCGAGCACACAAGAAUAGAAUCCAAUGGUUCUAUCGACACCAUUUAACAUGCAAGCAUGAAGGCAAGAACCGGUAUGCAUGGCAGCACCCAUGGCGCCAGGUCAGCAAUGGCGGAGGCGACAGAUCGACACCGCUGGUGGCCAAUAAUCACGGCCGUCAGGUGGGUGGUGUCCAGGGACAGCUAGGAGAAGACCGAGAAUCUUAUCACCGGCGCGCGUGAUUGCCUCACGGUCUCACUGAUUCGCAGCCCACAUGGCAUUGCCAGCUCAAAUCUUCCAGUCCAAUUAAUCUUUCUUUCUCUAUCCAUCCAAUAUACUAAUCCAGAUGCAAUGUUCUCCCUGGGAUUGAGGCCGGCAUCAUUGACACUUGUCCAUGAGUGUAAAACAACGGCAAGACUACUAAAAAAAAUGAAUACAACACCUACUCGCACUCUAGAAUUAGUGAACAUUUUCCUUCAAUAUAAUGUCCGGAAUGUAAGUACGUACGCAUCUACUCCCUCCGUUCCAAAUUACUCGUCGUGGUUUUAGUUCAGAACUAAAACCACGACGGGUAAUUUGGAACGGAGGGAGUAUAUGAGUCUACAUCAUCCAAAUUAGUCGGGAUGAUCAUAUAACACAGAACAAAGCAACAAAGUAACGAGAGAUCUUCCUUUGUGUAAAAACAUGCGUACAAUAUGUUAUCUAUCACUUUUUUCUAAACAAAAUAUUUUUUUUUCCAAUUUCUUUUUACAAUGAGGCCAUGUAGGCUUGGUUGUAGGAAGAGUCCAUCUCGUGGACGACGAGGCUGGUGGUGGUGACCCGGGCGCUUGUGGCAUUGUUGAAGAGGUACACCCCGGCGUUGGCGUAGAUGGCCUCCGUUGGGUACACUCGUGAUGUUGCCGUCAACCUCCCACCCAUCGCAAAGCUCUCAACGAUCGAAUG
Molecule: long non-coding RNA, 23427 nt
Filed under: Triticum aestivum (bread wheat)
Lineage: Eukaryota; Viridiplantae; Streptophyta; Magnoliopsida; Poales; Poaceae
Description: long non-coding RNA (TAES_LNC012839)
Rfam family: MIR1120/MIR1122 microRNA precursor family (bases 3656-3781)
Source: RNAcentral